CCUAAUACAUGCAAGUCGAGCGAGCGGAACUAACAGAUUUACUUCGGUAAUGACGUUAGGAAAGCGAGCGGCGGAUGGGUGAGUAACACGUGGGGAACCUGCCCCAUAGUCUGGGAUACCACUUGGAAACAGGUGCUAAUACCGGAUAAGAAAGCAGAUCGCAUGAUCAGCUUUUAAAAGGCGGCGUAAGCUGUCGCUAUGGGAUGGCCCCGCGGUGCAUUAGCUAGUUGGUAAGGUAAAGGCUUACCAAGGCGAUGAUGCAUAGCCGAGUUGAGAGACUGAUCGGCCACAUUGGGACUGAGACACGGCCCAAACUCCUACGGGAGGCAGCAGUAGGGAAUCUUCCACAAUGGACGCAAGUCUGAUGGAGCAACGCCGCGUGAGUGAAGAAGGUUUUCGGAUCGUAAAGCUCUGUUGUUGGAGAAGAACGUGCGUGAGAGUAACUGUUCACGCAGUGACGGUAUCCAACCAGAAAGUCACGGCUAACUACGUGCC
This 495-nucleotide ribosomal RNA is filed under the name uncultured bacterium. Its description in RNAcentral is "bacterial SSU rRNA". It matches the Rfam family "Bacterial small subunit ribosomal RNA", at positions 47 to 509 of the family's 1533-position model. The record is from RNAcentral.